Molecule: ribosomal RNA, 253 nt
Filed under: uncultured bacterium
Lineage: Bacteria
Description: partial 16S ribosomal RNA
Rfam family: Bacterial small subunit ribosomal RNA
Source: RNAcentral
UACAGAGGUCCCGAGCGUUGUUCGGACUCACUGGGCGUAAAGGGUGCGUAGGUGGUGCGGUAAGUCGGAUGUGAAAUCUCCAAGCUCAACUUGGAAAUGGCAUUGGAAACUACCUUGCUGGAGGUUUGGAGGGGGGACUGGAAUUCUCGGUGUAGCAGUGAAAUGCGUAGAUAUCGAGAGGAACACCAGUGGCGAAGGCGAGUCCCUGGACAAAACCUGACACUGAGGCACGAAAGCUAGGGGAGCAAACAGG